UACGUAGGGGGCAAGCGUUGUCCGGAAUUAUUGGGCGUAAAGAGCGCGUAGGCGGUCCGAUAAGUCGGCUGUGAAAGUCUAGGGCUCAACCCUGGAAAGCCGGCCGAUACCGUCGGGCUAGAGUCCGGAAGAGGCGAGUGGAAUUCCUGGUGUAGCGGUGAAAUGCGCAGAUAUCAGGAGGAACACCAAUUGCGAAGGCAGCUCGCUGGGACGUAACUGACGCUGAGACGCGAAAGCGUGGGGAGCAAACAGG
RNAcentral lists this ribosomal RNA (253 nucleotides) under uncultured bacterium. RNAcentral describes it as "partial 16S ribosomal RNA". It matches the Rfam family "Bacterial small subunit ribosomal RNA", at positions 524 to 776 of the family's 1533-position model. The record is from RNAcentral.